RNAcentral lists this ribosomal RNA (671 nucleotides) under bacterium StP3-27F. Its description in RNAcentral is "bacterial SSU rRNA". It matches the Rfam family "Bacterial small subunit ribosomal RNA", at positions 57 to 712 of the family's 1533-position model. The record is from RNAcentral.
GCAGUAGAACGCUGAAGACUUUAGCUUGCUAAAGUUGGAAGAGUUGCGAACGGGUGAGUAACGCGUAGGUAACCUGCCUACUAGCGGGGGAUAACUAUUGGAAACGAUAGCUAAUACCGCAUAACAGCAUUUAACCCAUGUUAGAUGCUUGAAAGGAGCAAUUGCUUCACUAGUAGAUGGACCUGCGUUGUAUUAGCUAGUUGGUGAGGUAACGGCUCACCAAGGCGACGAUACAUAGCCGACCUGAGAGGGUGAUCGGCCACACUGGGACUGAGACACGGCCCAGACUCCUACGGGAGGCAGCAGUAGGGAAUCUUCGGCAAUGGGGGCAACCCUGACCGAGCAACGCCGCGUGAGUGAAGAAGGUUUUCGGAUCGUAAAGCUCUGUUGUAAGAGAAGAACGUGUGUGAGAGUGGAAAGUUCACACAGUGACGGUAACUUACCAGAAAGGGACGGCUAACUACGUGCCAGCAGCCGCGGUAAUACGUAGGUCCCGAGCGUUGUCCGGAUUUAUUGGGCGUAAAGCGAGCGCAGGCGGUUUAAUAAGUCUGAAGUUAAAGGCAGUGGCUUAACCAUUGUUCGCUUUGGAAACUGUUAGACUUGAGUGCAGAAGGGGAGAGUGGAAUUCCAUGUGUAGCGGUGAAAUGCGUAGAUAUAUGGAGGAACACCGG